RNAcentral lists this ribosomal RNA (563 nucleotides) under uncultured bacterium. RNAcentral describes it as "bacterial SSU rRNA". It matches the Rfam family "Bacterial small subunit ribosomal RNA", at positions 382 to 936 of the family's 1533-position model. The record is from RNAcentral.
CCUAAUGGUGCAACGCCGCGUGGAGGAUGACGGUCUUCGGAUUGUAAACUCCUGUCAUCUGGGAGUAAGGCAUGGUUGUGAAUAGCAAAUAUGAUUGAUAGUACCAGAAGAGGAAGGGACGGCUAUCUUCGUGCCAGCAGCCGAGGUAAUACGAAGGUCCCAAGCGUUGUUCGGAUUCACUGAGCGUAAAGGGAGCGUAGGCGGCGUGGUAAGUCAGAUGUGAAAUCCCGGGGCUCAACCCCGGAACUGCAUCCGAUACUGCCAUGCUAGAGGAUUGGAGAGGUAGCUGGAAUUAUUGGUGUAGCAGUGAAAUGCGUAGAGAUCAAUAGGAACACUCGUGGCGAAAGCGAGCUACUGGACAAUUCCUGACGCUGAGGCUCGAAGGCUAGGGUAGCGAAAGGGAUUAGAUACCCCUGUAGUCCUAGCAUUAAACGGUGCACGCUUGGUGUGAGGGGAAUCGACCCCCCUUGUGCCGGAGCUAACGCGUUAAGCGUGCCGCCUGGGAAGUACGGUCGCAAGACUAAAACUCAAAGAAAUUGACGGGGACCCGCACAAGCGGUGGU